CUACGGGAGGCAGCAGUGAGGAAUAUUGGUCAAUGGGCGCAAGCCUGAACCAGCCAUCCCGCGUGCAGGAAGACGGCGCUAUGCGUUGUAAACUGCUUUUCCAGGGGGAGAAACUUGCGCACGUGUUGCGCAAUUGACGGUAC
RNAcentral lists this ribosomal RNA (143 nucleotides) under uncultured bacterium. RNAcentral describes it as "partial 16S ribosomal RNA". It matches the Rfam family "Bacterial small subunit ribosomal RNA", at positions 339 to 478 of the family's 1533-position model. The record is from RNAcentral.